Molecule: ribosomal RNA, 429 nt
Filed under: uncultured soil bacterium
Lineage: Bacteria
Description: bacterial SSU rRNA
Rfam family: Bacterial small subunit ribosomal RNA
Source: RNAcentral
AGAUUGAACGCUGGCGGCAUGCCUAACACAUGCAAGUCGAACGGGAGUAGCAAUACUCUAGUGGCGGACGGGUGAGGAAUACGUAGGAAUUUGCCCUUAAGUGGGGGAUAACCCGGGGAAACCCGGAUUAAUACCGCAUGACCUCGAAAGAGCAAAGUGGGGGAUCGCAAGACCUCACGCUUUUGGAGAAGCCUACGUCGGAUUAGCUAGUUGGUGAGGUAAUGGCUCACCAAGGCGACGAUCCGUAACUGGUCUGAGAGGAUGAUCAGUCACACCGGAACUGAGACACGGUCCGGACUCCUACGGGAGCAGCAGUGGGAAUAGUGGACAAUGGCGCAAGCCUGAUCCAGCAAUGCCGCGUGUGUGAAGAGGCCUUGGUGUAAGCACGUUUAAGGUUAGGAAGAAAAACUCGACUACGUAACACAGUUA